GACAGAGGGUGCAAACGUUGUUCGGAAUUACUGGGCAUAAAGCGAGUGUAGGCGGUUUCCUAAGUCAGGUGUGAAAGCCCCGGGCUCAACCCGGGAAGUGCACUUGAAACUGGGAGGCUAGAGUAUCGGAGAGGUUGGUGGAAUUCUCGGUGUAGAGGUGAAAAUUCGUAGAUAUCGAGAGGAACACCGGUGGCGAAGGCGGCCAACUGGACGAAUACUGACGCUGAGACUCGAAAGCGUGGGGAGCAAACAGG
RNAcentral lists this ribosomal RNA (254 nucleotides) under uncultured bacterium. RNAcentral describes it as "partial 16S ribosomal RNA". It matches the Rfam family "Bacterial small subunit ribosomal RNA", at positions 524 to 776 of the family's 1533-position model. The record is from RNAcentral.